UACGUAGGGUGCAAGCGUUGUCCGGAAUUAUUGGGCGUAAAGAGCUCGUAGGCGGCUCGUCGCGUCGGCUGUGAAAACCUGGGGCUCAACCCCGGGCCUGCAGCCGAUACGGGCGAGCUAGAAUUCGGUAGGGGAGACUGGAAUUCCUGGUGUAGCGGUGAAAUGCGCAGAUAUCAGGAGGAACACCGGUGGCGAAGGCGGGGCUCUGGGCCGAUAUUGACGCUGAGGAGCGAAAGCGUGGGGAGCGAACAGG
Molecule: ribosomal RNA, 253 nt
Filed under: uncultured bacterium
Lineage: Bacteria
Description: partial 16S ribosomal RNA
Rfam family: Bacterial small subunit ribosomal RNA
Source: RNAcentral